This 1027-nucleotide long non-coding RNA is filed under the name Struthio camelus australis. Its description in RNAcentral is "lncRNA (ENSSCUG00000001420.1)". Lineage: Eukaryota; Metazoa; Chordata; Aves; Struthioniformes; Struthionidae. The record is from RNAcentral.
CUGGAAUGCAAGGGGUAAGUGUAAGGCUAAAGAAAAGCUCUUGGUAGAGUCAGAUCGUUAUUUGUUGCUGAGUAAUGCUCAGUAAUCUAACCCGUGUCCUUGCAGAAAGAACUUCCCAGCUAACCAGUUUUAAGCUAUAAAUAAUACUGAUGCUUGGAGAAAUGCGAAAUACAGUAUCAAGGACUUGAGCUUUUACUUGAGUAAAACUUAAUCUCAAGAAAAAGUCUAACAAGAACUUUUAAGGAUAAAAGUCAUUGCUUCAGCGAGGAGAGGGAUACAUUGGGAAAUCGGCCAUGAAAUGCAUGAUCUUUUCCUUAUUUCCGUUUCUUUUAAAGGUGAAAACUUAAAAACCACUGUCAAAACAUACAAGCUACGUGCUGUGUUGCACCCGCCCUUCUGGUUCCUCCAGGGCUUCAGCCAAGCCAACCUUCCACCAAGUCACACCAUUCCCAAAGUCACCCAGCUGCGCAUCAAAACCAGGAAAAGCUGCCCCCAAAGUUGGUGAGGAUGAAUUGACUUUGGUACAGCUUUUAAAAGGUGCAAACAUGGGAAAUAUUUAGUAGAGGAAACUGCCAACACGCUGCAGAAGACUCUGCACUGUAAUCCCUGGUGACGCUCCCGGAGGGCCAGGAGCUGAUGUCACCAAGAAGCGGAAGCUGCAGCUGCAGCGAAGCUAUACCAGGGCCCUGCGAGGAGGAGGAGGAGGAGGCAAAGGGGCCUUCAUGCACCCUGGAGGAAGCAGGCAAGGGAGGCACACACAGAAGGAGCAGGACAAAAAACAUGGGGGACCUGAGAAGGACUGGAGAAAGGAAAAAUGAGAAGAAAAAUAGGGUCCGUCUUGAACAUCCAUGGCCAGCAGCAUAUAUGGGCAGGAGCUGUGCUCACCAGGCAGUGGAGGUGCCCCAGUAGAUGGCUCUCACCUGCUGUGAAAAGGAAUUCCCCACCUCCCAAGAGGCUUCAGGUUCAAAAGAGACAUUUCAGUUCUGCUCAUUAGCAACAUACAUCUCACCCCACCAGAAAGGCUGGA